ACAGCCCCGUACACAAAAGCGCAUGUGCUGUGAGCUCGAUGAGUAGGGCGGGACACGUGGUAUCCUGUCUGAAUAUGGGGGGACCAUCCUCCAAGGCUAAAUACUCCUGACUGACCGAUAGUGAACCAGUACCGUGAGGGAAAGGCGAAAAGAACCCCGGCGAGGGGAGUGAAAAAGAACCUGAAACCGUGUACGUACAAGCAGUGGGAGCACCCUUUGGGGUGUGACUGCGUACCUUUUGUAUAAUGGGUCAGCGACUUAUAUUCUGUAGCAAGGUUAACCGAAUAGGGGAGCCGGAGGGAAACCGAGUCUUAAUUGGGCGUUAAGUUGCAGGGUAUAGACCCGAAACCCGGUGAUCUAGCCAUGGGCAGGUUGAAGGUUGGGUAACACUAACUGGAGGACCGAACCGACUAAUGUUGAAAAAUUAGCGGAUGACCUGUGGCUGGGGGUGAAAGGCCAAUCAAACCGGGAGAUAGCUGGUUCUCCCCGAAAGCUAUUUAGGUAGCGCCUCGUGAAUUCAUCUCCGGGGGUAGAGCACUGUUUCGGCUAGGGGGCCAUCCCGGCUUACCAACCCGAUGCAAACUGCGAAUACCGGAGAAUGUUAUCACGGGAGACACACGGCGGGUGCUAACGUCCGUCGUGAAGAGGGAAACAACCCAGACCGCCAGCUAAGGUCCCAAAGUCAUGGUUAAGUGGGAAACGAUGUGGGAAGGCCCAGACAGCCAGGAUGUUGGCUUAGAAGCAGCCAUCAUUUAAAGAAAGCGUAAUAGCUCACUGGUCGAGUCGGCCUGCGCGGAAGAUGUAACGGGGCUAAACCAUGCACCGAAGCUGCGGCAGCGAACGUAUCACCCAAGACAACUUUACGGAGUUGACGAUUGACGGAGCGAAGCGACGUCAAAGCGUUCAUUAAAGUCGAGUUGGCUUAGGGAUACGUUCGUUGGGUAGGGGAGCGUUCUGUAAGCCUGUGAAGGUGUGUCGUGAGGCAUGCUGGAGGUAUCAGAAGUGCGAAUGCUGACAUAAGUAACGAUAAAGCGGGUGAAAAGCCCGCUCGCCGGAAGACCAAGGGUUCCUGUCCAACGUUAAUCGGGGCAGGGUGAGUCGACCCCUAAGGCGAGGCCGAAAGGCGUAGUCGAUGGGAAACGGGUUAAUAUUCCCGUACUUGGUGUUACUGCGAAGGGGGGACGGAGAAGGCUAUGUUGGCCGGGCGACGGUUGUCCCGGUUUAAGCGUGUAGGUGUGUGUUCCAGGUAAAUCCGGUU
This 1258-nucleotide ribosomal RNA is filed under the name Salmonella enterica subsp. enterica serovar Typhimurium. Its description in RNAcentral is "partial 23S ribosomal RNA". It matches the Rfam family "Bacterial large subunit ribosomal RNA", at positions 367 to 1547 of the family's 2925-position model. The record is from RNAcentral. Lineage: Bacteria; Pseudomonadati; Pseudomonadota; Gammaproteobacteria; Enterobacterales; Enterobacteriaceae.